GGUCUACUGCCUACCACCCUGAAUGUGAUCCAUCUUGUCUGAUCUCGGAAGCUAAGCAGUGUCAAGCCUGGUUAGUACUUGGAUGGGAGAAAGUUGGAAUUGCGCGUCAGAGGCCC
This 116-nucleotide ribosomal RNA is filed under the name Propithecus coquereli (Coquerel's sifaka). The record is from RNAcentral. Lineage: Eukaryota; Metazoa; Chordata; Mammalia; Primates; Indriidae.